GACGAACGCUGGCGGCGUGCCUAACACAUGCAAGUCGAACGGGGCAGCAAUGCCCAGUGGCGAACGGGUGCGUAACACGUGAGGAACUUGUCCAUCGGCGGGGGAUAGCCGGCCCAACGGCCGGGUAAUACCGCGUACGUCGGCGAGACCGCAUGGUCUUGCCGGGAAAGCAGCAAUGCACCGAUGGAGAGCCUCGCGGCCUAUCAGCUAGUUGGUGAGGUAAUGGCUCACCAAGGCGACGACGGGUAGCUGGU
Molecule: ribosomal RNA, 254 nt
Filed under: uncultured bacterium
Lineage: Bacteria
Description: partial 16S ribosomal RNA
Rfam family: Bacterial small subunit ribosomal RNA
Source: RNAcentral